CUUUUUCUUUAUUUCUCUCUUUCUUUGAUUUUUGGAGGAAUAUUAAAGAUUAGAGAUUGAAAUGAACAUCUACAAUAUAUUUCUGAAAAUGGUGGUUCUUUUCUUGGCUUUUACCGUUGCCUUCUCUUCUGUUGCACUUCCAAAAUCAAGGAGACUCAUGAUUCAUACAGAUCAAGAAGCAGUUCAAGACUUACAUACUCAAUAUCAGGAAGGAAGAAUGGAUAUGCAAAUUGAAGACUAUCCAGGAACAGGAGCAAACAAUCACCAUGAUCCCAAACCCCCUUUACCUUGAAGAUCUUUUAUUUAUUUUAUUUUAUUUUUAAGAAAGUAGUAAAUUAAUUAAGGUGUGUUUGUUUUUAAUCUAUAUAUAUUAGAUGGUUGGUGAUGAUCUUGGGUUGUUGGAUUAUAUAUAUAAUUUUGAACAAGUUUUACCCAUUUGUUGUGCUUGAGGUAAUUAAGAUAAUGUAA
Impatiens glandulifera is the source of this 468-nucleotide long non-coding RNA. RefSeq lists it as uncharacterized. Lineage: Eukaryota; Viridiplantae; Streptophyta; Magnoliopsida; Ericales; Balsaminaceae. The transcript is spliced from 3 exons. The record is from RefSeq and is a predicted model, not a curated record.